This 494-nucleotide ribosomal RNA is filed under the name uncultured bacterium. RNAcentral's name for it is "partial 16S ribosomal RNA". It matches the Rfam family "Bacterial small subunit ribosomal RNA", at positions 28 to 507 of the family's 1533-position model. The record is from RNAcentral.
GACGAACGCUGGCGGCGUGCUUAACACAUGCAAGUCGAACGGAAAGGCCUGCUUUCCCUUGUGGAUUGCGGGUACUCGAGUGGCGAACGGGUGAGUAACACGUGAGUGAUCUGCCCCCAACUUGGGUAUAAGCCUGGGAAACUGGGUCUAAUUCCCGAUAGGACUGCAGGGUGGUGCCUGUGGUGGAAAACGAUUUUCUAGUGGUUGGGGAUGAGCUCGCGGCCUAUCAGCUUGUUGGUGGGGUAAUGGCCUACCAAGGCGGCGACGGGUAGCCGGCCUGGGAGGGUGGACGGCCACAUUGGGACUGAGAUACGGCCCAGACUCCUACGGGAGGCAGCAGUGGGGAAUAUUGCACAAUGGGCGGAAGCCUGAUGCAGCGACGCCGCGUGGGGGAUGACGGCCUUCGGGUGGUAAACUCCUUUCGGCCGCGAGGAAGCCACCUGGUUGGAAGGGUGGUGACGGUAGUGGUAGAAGAAGCACCGGCUAACUACGUG